CCCUUAGAUGUUCUGGGCCGCACGCGCGCUACACUGACACAGGCAACGAGCUUUCCUUAACCGAAAGGUUUGGGUAAUCUUUUGAAACUGUGUCGUGCUGGGGAUAGAUCCCUGCAAUUUUUGAUCUUAAACGAGGAAUUCCUAGUAAGCGCGAGUCAUCAACUCGCGUUGAUUACGUCCCUGCCCUUUGUACACACCGCCCGUCGCUACUACCGAUUGAAUGGCUUAGUGAGGCCUCAGGAUUUGCGCUCUUUUGAGUGUGAAGAAUUUGGACAAACUACGUCAUUUAGAGGAAGUAAAAGUCGUAACA
RNAcentral lists this ribosomal RNA (310 nucleotides) under uncultured eukaryote. RNAcentral describes it as "partial 18S ribosomal RNA". It matches the Rfam family "Eukaryotic small subunit ribosomal RNA", at positions 1470 to 1796 of the family's 1831-position model. The record is from RNAcentral.